This 433-nucleotide ribosomal RNA is filed under the name uncultured bacterium. Its description in RNAcentral is "partial 16S ribosomal RNA". It matches the Rfam family "Bacterial small subunit ribosomal RNA", at positions 29 to 507 of the family's 1533-position model. The record is from RNAcentral.
AACGAACGCUGGCGGCAGGCCUAACACAUGCAAGUCGAGCGAGCAUUUCGGUGCUAGCGGCGGACGGGUGAGUAACGCGUGGGAACGUGCCCUUUUCUGCGGAAUAGUCCUGGGAGACUGGGGGUAAUACCGCAUACGCCCUUUUGGGGAAAGAUUUAUCGGAGAAGGAUCGGCCCGCGUUGGAUUAGGUAGUUGGUGGGGUAAUGGCCCACCAAGCCGACGAUCCAUAGCUGGUUUGAGAGGAUGAUCAGCCACACUGGGACUGAGACACGGCCCAGACUCCUACGGGAGGCAGCAGUGGGGAAUCUUAGACAAUGGGGGCAACCCUGAUCUAGCCAUGCCGCGUGAGUGAUGAAGGCCUUAGGGUUGUAAAGCUCUUUCAGCUGGGAAGAUAAUGACGGUACCAGCAGAAGAAGCCCCGGCUAACUCCGUG